GAUGAACGCUGGCGGCGUGCCUAAUACAUGCAAGUCGAGCGAACGGACGAGAAGCUUGCUUCUCUGAUGUUAGCGGCGGACGGGUGAGUAACACGUGGAUAACCUACCUAUAAGACUGGGAUAACUUCGGGAAACCGGAGCUAAUACCGGAUAAUAUUUUGAACCGCAUGGUUCAAAAGUGAAAGACGGUCUUGCUGUCACUUAUAGAUGGAUCCGCGCUGCAUUAGCUAGUUGGUAAGGUAACGGCUUACCAAGGCAACGAUGCAUAGCCGACCUGAGAGGGUGAUCGGCCACACUGGAACUGAGACACGGUCCAGACUCCUACGGGAGGCAGCAGUAGGGAAUCUUCCGCAAUGGGCGAAAGCCUGACGGAGCAACGCCGCGUGAGUGAUGAAGGUCUUCGGAUCGUAAAACUCUGUUAUUAACGAAGAACAUAUGUGUAAGUAACUGUGCACAUCUUGACGGUACCUAAUCAGAAAGCCACGGCUAACUACGUGCCAGCAGCCGCGGUAAUACGUAAGUGGCAAGCGUUAUCCGGAAUUAUUGGGCGUAAAGCGCGCGUAGGCGGUUUUUUAAGUCUGAUGUGAAAGCCCACGGCUCAACCGUGGAGGGUCAUUGGAAACUGGAAAACUUGAGUGCAGAAGAGGAAAGUGGAAUUCCAUGUGUAGCGGUGAAAUGCGCAGAGAUAUGGAGGAACACCAGUGGCGAAGGCGACUUUCUGGUCUGUAACUGACGCUGAUGUGCGAAAGCGUGGGGAUCAAACAGGAUUAGAUACCCUGGUAGUUCACGCCGUAAACGAUGAGUGCUAAGUGUUAGGGGGUUUCCGCCCCUUAGUGCUGCAGCUAACGCAUUAAGCACUCCGCCUGGGGAGUACGACCGCAAGGUUGAAACUCAAAGGAAUUGACGGGGACCCGCACAAGCGGUGGAGCAUGUGGUUUAAUUCGAAGCAACGCGAAGAACCUUACCAAAUCUUGACAUCCUUUGACAACUCUAGAGAUAGAGCCUUCCCCUUCGGGGGACAAAGUGACAGGUGGUGCAUGGUUGUCGUCAGCUCGUGUCGUGAGAUGUUGGGUUAAGUCCCGCAACGAGCGCAACCCUUAAGCUUAGUUGCCAUCAUUAAGUUGGGCACUCUAAGUUGACUGCCGGUGACAAACCGGAGGAAGGUGGGGAUGACGUCAAAUCAUCAUGCCCCUUAUGAUUUGGGCUACACACGUGCUACAAUGGACAAUACAAAGGGCAGCGAAACCGCGAGGUCAAGCAAAUCCCAUAAAGUUGUUCUCAGUUCGGAUUGUAGUCUGCAACUCGACUACAUGAAGCUGGAAUCGCUAGUAAUCGUAGAUCAGCAUGCUACGGUGAAUACGUUCCCGGGUCU
RNAcentral lists this ribosomal RNA (1372 nucleotides) under uncultured bacterium. RNAcentral's name for it is "bacterial SSU rRNA". It matches the Rfam family "Bacterial small subunit ribosomal RNA", at positions 28 to 1381 of the family's 1533-position model. The record is from RNAcentral.